RNAcentral lists this ribosomal RNA (468 nucleotides) under uncultured bacterium. RNAcentral describes it as "partial 16S ribosomal RNA". It matches the Rfam family "Bacterial small subunit ribosomal RNA", at positions 28 to 507 of the family's 1533-position model. The record is from RNAcentral.
GACGAACGCUGGCGGCGUGCUUAACACAUGCAAGUCGAACGGAAAGGCCCUGCUUUUGUGGGGUGCUCGAGUGGCGAACGGGUGAGUAACACGUGAGUAACCUGCCCUUGACUUUGGGAUAACUUCAGGAAACUGGGGCUAAUACCGGAUAGGAUCUCCUGCUGCAUGGUGGGGGUUGGAAAGUUUCGGCGGUUGGGGAUGGACUCGCGGCUUAUCAGCUUGUUUGUGGGGUAGUGGCUUACCAAGGCUUUGACGGGUAGCCGGCCUGAGAGGGGUACCGGCCACAUUGGGACUGAGGUACGGCCCAGAAGCCUACGGGAGGCAGCAGUGGGGAAUAUUACACAAUGGGGGGAAGCCAGAUGCAGCAACGCCGCGUGCGGGAUGACGGGCUUCGGGGUGUAAACCGCUUUCGCCGGUGACGAAGCGGGAGUGACGGUAAUGGGUAAAGAAGCACCGGCUAACUACGUG